UACGGAGGGUGCAAGCGUUGUCCGGAUUUAUUGGGUUUAAAGGGUGCGUAGGCGGCCCUGUAAGUCAGUGGUGAAAUACUGCAGCUUAACUGUAGCAUUGCCAUUGAUACUGUAGGGCUUAGUACAGAUGAGGUAGGCGGAAUUGAUGGUGUAGCGGUGAAAUGCAUAGAUACCAUCAAGAACACCGAUUGCGAAGGCAGCUUACUAAGCUGUAACUGACGCUGAGGCACGAAAGCGUGGGGAUCGAACAGG
Molecule: ribosomal RNA, 252 nt
Filed under: uncultured bacterium
Lineage: Bacteria
Description: partial 16S ribosomal RNA
Rfam family: Bacterial small subunit ribosomal RNA
Source: RNAcentral